UGAUUAAAAAAUUUUUUAUUUUUUUUUUGUAUAUUAAUUAAUUUAAUAAAAAUAUUUUUAUUGAUAAAAAAUUUUAGUAUUAUUAAAGAAAAAAUAUUAAAUAUUAUAAAUGAAGAGUAUUGUAAAAGAAAAAUUGAAAAAAAUUUAUGAAAUACUUAAAUAUUAAUAAGUAAAAUUAAAAUUUUGUACCUUUUGUAUCAGGGUUUAUUAAAAAUAAGUUAAUUAAAAUUAUUUAUCUCGAAAUUUUAAGAGUUAAUUUAAUAUAAAUUUUAUUGUUUCAUAAAUAAAUUAAAUAUUAAAUUAGAAGUGAAAUGUUAUUCGUUUAAAAUAUAUAUCUAUUUUUAUAUAUAAUUUAAUUUAAAUAAUUAUUUAAAUUUAUUAUGAUUCAAGUUAUAUGGUAAAAUUAUUUUACUUAAAUUAAUUAAAUUGUGGUAAAAUUUCUUUAAAUUUGUAAUAAUUCUUAAUUUAUAUGGUAAAAUUAUAUAAAUUUAUUUAUAAAAUUGAAUUUUAACAAAUUUUAAUAAUUUAUUUAUAUUAAUUGAAGUUAUACAAAUUUAAAUAAAUAUUUAAAUUUAAUUAAAAUAUAAUUUAUAAAUAAAAUUUAUAAAAUUAAUUUAAAUUUAUUAAUAUAUAUAUAUAUAUACAUAGAUAGAUUAAAAUAAGGAAUUUGGCAAAAAUUAAUGUUCACCUGUUUAUUAAAAACAUGUCUUUUAUGAAUUUAAUUAAAAGUCUAAUCUGCUCACUGAUUAAAUUAUUAAAGAGCCGCAGUAUUUUGACUGUGCAAAGGUAGCAUAAUCAUUAGUCUCUUAAUUAGAGUCUUGUAUGAAAGAUUUGAUGAAAUAUUAACUGUCUCAUUUUAAAUGUAAUUAAAAUUUAAUUUUUAAGUCAAAAAGCUUAAAUAAAUUUAGAGGACGAGAAGACCCUAUAGAACUUUAUAAAUAUAUUAUUAUAAAUUUUAUAAGAAAUAAUUUAAUUAAUAUUAUUAUAUUUAUUUCAUUGGGAUGAUGAAUAGAUUAAUUUAACUCUAUUAUAUAAAUAAUAAAAUCAUAGAUUUAUGUUUAAAUUUUAUCUUAUAUUAUGAAAUAUAAAUUAAGUUACCUUAGGGAUAACAGCGUAAUUUUUUUUUAAAGUUCAUAUUAACAAAAAAGAUUGCGACCUCGAUGUUGGAUUAAGAUAAAAAUUAGGUGUAGAAGUUUAAUUUUAUAGUCUGUUCGACUAAUAUAUUCUUACAUGAUCUAAGUUAAAAUCGGCGUGAGCCAGAUUGGUUUCUAUCCUUAAAUAAAAUAAUUAUUUUAGUACGAGAGGAUCAAAUAAUUGAAAUAAAUUUAUUUAUAUAGAUUAUCAUUAAUUUUUUUAUUA
Molecule: ribosomal RNA, 1359 nt
Filed under: Megalodontes cephalotes
Lineage: Eukaryota; Metazoa; Arthropoda; Insecta; Hymenoptera; Megalodontesidae
Description: 16S ribosomal RNA
Source: RNAcentral